AUGCAUGAUCAGGUCGGCCUAGACCUGGACGGUUUCCCGCUCGACCACGAGAUUCCAGAGGACUACGGACUCCAGGAAGAGGAUGAAUUGGACAUCAAAGGGGAGCCUUUGUUCGAGGACAAGCUGGCCAACCAAGCCACCGGGGGGAAGAAGCGCAAGAGCAUGCAGACCAAGGCAUACACGGCGGCCCAGCACAAGCUCCUUUGUGAGUGUUGGAGGUACAUUGGGAAAGACCCCAAGAUCUGCGCCGAACAAAAGGCAUUAACCUUUUGGACUCGUGUCUAUCGCGAGUUCCAUGAGCGCAAGAAGUUUCCGUCGUACCAAAUACAUAGCACGCGUGGGUGGGUGUCCAUUUCGAAGCGUUGGAAGGUGAUCCAAUAA
RNAcentral lists this ribosomal RNA (381 nucleotides) under Triticum aestivum (bread wheat). RNAcentral describes it as "partial small subunit ribosomal RNA". The record is from RNAcentral. Lineage: Eukaryota; Viridiplantae; Streptophyta; Magnoliopsida; Poales; Poaceae.